GCAUUAAUGGGGUAGUGGUAACCUGGGUCGUUGCCAUCUGAGCACUAAGCUCGACCCGCCGGGGGUUCGAUUCCCUCUUAAUGCA
Molecule: transfer RNA, 85 nt
Filed under: Macrolepiota fuliginosa MF-IS2
Lineage: Eukaryota; Fungi; Basidiomycota; Agaricomycetes; Agaricales; Agaricaceae
Description: tRNA-Gly
Rfam family: tRNA
About the family: Transfer RNA (tRNA) molecules are approximately 80 nucleotides in length. Their secondary structure includes four short double-helical elements and three loops (D, anti-codon, and T loops). Further hydrogen bonds mediate the characteristic L-shaped molecular structure. tRNAs have two regions of fundamental functional importance: the anti-codon, which is responsible for specific mRNA codon recognition, and the 3' end, to which the tRNAs corresponding amino acid is attached (by aminoacyl-tRNA synthetases). tRNAs cope with the degeneracy of the genetic code in two manners: having more than one tRNA (with a specific anti-codon) for a particular amino acid; and 'wobble' base-pairing, i.e. permitting non-standard base-pairing at the 3rd anti-codon position.
Source: RNAcentral